CACAUGCAAGUCGAACGAACCUUCGGGUUAGUGGCGGACGGGUGAGUAACGCGUGAGAAUCUGCCCUCAGGAGGGGGAUAACGGCUGGAAACGGCCGCUAAUACCCCAUAUGCCGAGAGGUGAAAUGAAUUUCGCCUGAGGAUGAGCUCGCGUCUGAUUAGCUAGUUGGUGGGGUAAAGGCCUACCAAGGCUUCGAUCAGUAGCUGGUCUGAGAGGAUGAUCANCCACACUGGGACUGAGACACGGCCCANACUCCUACGGGAGGCAGCAGUGGGGAAUUUUCCNCAAUGGGCGAAAGCCUGACGGAGCAACGCCGCGUGAGGGAUGAAGGCCUCUGGGCUGUAAACCUCUUUUNUCAAGGAAGAAGAUCUGACGGUACUUNNUGAAUAAGCCACGGCUAAUUCCNUGCC
Molecule: ribosomal RNA, 410 nt
Filed under: uncultured bacterium
Lineage: Bacteria
Description: bacterial SSU rRNA
Rfam family: Bacterial small subunit ribosomal RNA
Source: RNAcentral